GCAACCAUUUAAUUUGAAAAAGGUAUGCCCUUUUCGCCGUUAAAUGUUGCAGCCUAAUUUUGGAUCGAGAAUUAAGUGCGACGAAGAUGGCCGUUAAUAAUAGUUCUACUACUUUAAGAACACGGUUCAGAUUUGGAUAACGACUUCGAAGGCAUUCGCAGGAGACCAAACAGAGAAAGAGAGGGAGACACAAAACCACCUGUCUCGGUGUCACACAUGAGGAGUUGAGGAGGAGAUGAAGUCAGUGAAUAUGACCUGGCCUGGGGGAGUUUCCAGAAGAAGGCCCAGAAUCGCUGGAUGCCAGGAGUGGAGAUCCUUCGUUGCUGCCCUACAUGAUAGGAGGCAUCGGGCAGUACAUGUAGAUGCUGUAAUUUGAAACGGAAGGUGUCCUGCCAAUAAAUUUUCAUCCCACCUGAACUGCCUUGCCUGCCUGCACCCAGUCAUCUGUUCCUGAGCAUUUUCAUUUUCCUCUAUUUUUCAUCAUCGUUUGUUUCGGCCUGUAUGAAGUGAAUUUCACAUUGAUUGGUGGAGCUGCUAAGUUGGCAUUACAGGGCCACGCCGGGGUAUGAUCCUUUGGGUUGAACAUCAUGACUGCUAGUUGGUCGGCAAAGGUGAUGGGAUCGAUCAAUGUCACAUGGAGUAAGAUCGAUACCAAUCUGCUUUGCUACAUUUCGAACAAUCUCAUACGGAUACGGAUAUUAUUGCGACAGGAGUACUGCUCGAUGUGGUCAAGCCUAUUUGACAAAGCAUUAUGGUGUUAGUCAUGUUAUCAGAAACCGAUUUUUCAAAAUCACGGAGUUGCUUCAAUUUAGUAUCGAUAGAUAUUUCAAGAACGUGUAGACUAGUGAGCUUUUCAUUAAGAAUUUCACGCAAUUUAUUUUCGCGCUUAUCCAUGUCAUCAUUGAGUUUUUGUCUCUCGCGUUCCAUUGCCACGGCCACCGCUCUUUGAACGACUGUAUCAAUAUGAUCUAGGUAUGCUGGGCUUUGUUUAGAUCCAGUUAAUGAUGAAGCAGAGGAUUGUGUACAUGCGUUAGCCGAGUGCAAGCGGCCUCUUGAUCUGGUGGAUAUCUUAGACAUGUUAGAGAUUACGUAAUGAUAUAAUUGAAAAGUGGGAUGGGCUGUGCAUCUGCCAACUCACCAGUCAACCAAUUAGAGACGGCCUUCCAAAGUGACACAGCACGAAAAUAUCAAUAUGGGACUGGUCUAGUCAACACAUAGAUCCUGAAAAAACCAUGGAGACCGCAGACGCAAAAUGACUUCCAUACAUAAAGAUAUGAUGCACAAUCUCCAGUGGGUUCAAAACACUGAACACAUGCUAUGCUGAUACACAGACUAUCAUAAGAACUUUUUCAAGCAAAGGAAAUCUGGUAUGAAAUCUCUCAGCUCACAUAAAAAGCCUACGUAGCUACAUGUAGGGAAGAAAAUGCGUAAUUGCUGAGAAAUGAGCAAAAUAAGCAUGUAAUUCUAUCAAAUGUCAGGUAUUUUUCGAAUCGAUUAUAAUACACUGUCCCACAUAUGCUUUUCUGUGUUUACAGCGAUCAUCAGAAUUAUCGAUUUUAAGUUAAACAAUUCAUGAUUUUACAAAGAUACAAGUUUACAUUAAUGUACCAGAUGUAGAUUAUGUACAAUAUAUUGACAAUUAACUUUGAUUUUAUAGAUUUUCUCAAGAAAUAAUUGUUUGCUGCAACUACUGUCUUUUCCUUCUAAGUGAUAGUGUAAUACAACAGUUCCACAAACUAUUUUCAUCAGACUUAUUGAUGCAUGAUUCUUUCACCCAAAUGCAAGCUUCCAUAAAUCCUGAAAACUUUGCAACUCAGGUAUUUUUUUUUUUA
Long non-coding RNA from Lytechinus pictus (painted urchin), 1832 nucleotides. RefSeq lists it as uncharacterized. The transcript has 3 exons. The record is from RefSeq and is a predicted model, not a curated record. NCBI's taxonomy places the organism in Eukaryota, Metazoa, Echinodermata, Echinoidea, Temnopleuroida, Toxopneustidae.